This 561-nucleotide ribosomal RNA is filed under the name uncultured bacterium. RNAcentral's name for it is "partial 16S ribosomal RNA". It matches the Rfam family "Bacterial small subunit ribosomal RNA", at positions 357 to 914 of the family's 1533-position model. The record is from RNAcentral.
UGGGAAUUUGGACAAUGGGCGAAAGCCUGAUCCAGCAAUGCCGCGUGUGUGAAGAAGGCCUUCGGGUUGUAAAGCACUUUUGUCCGGAAAGAAAUCCUUGGCUCUAAUACAGUCGGGGGAUGACGGUACCGGAAGAAUAAGCACCGGCUAACUACGUGCCAGCAGCCGCGGUAAUACGUAGGGUGCAAGCGUUAAUCGGAAUUACUGGGCGUAAAGCGUGCGCAGGCGGUUUGCUAAGACCGAUGUGAAAUCCCCGGGCUCAACCUGGGAACUGCAUUGGUGACUGGCAGGCUAGAGUAUGGCAGAGGGGGGUAGAAUUCCACGUGUAGCAGUGAAAUGCGUAGAGAUGUGGAGGAAUACCGAUGGCGAAGGCAGCCCCCUGGCAAGUACUGACGCUCAUGCACGAAAGCGUGGGGAGCAAACNGGAUUAAUNCCCUGGUAGUCCACGCCCUAAANGAUGUCAACUAGUUGUUGGGGAUUCAUUUCCUUAGUAACGUAGCUAACGCGUGAAGUUGACCGCCUGGGGAGUACGGUCGCAAGAUUAAAACUCAAAUAAUUGAC